This 1509-nucleotide ribosomal RNA is filed under the name uncultured bacterium. RNAcentral's name for it is "partial 16S ribosomal RNA". It matches the Rfam family "Bacterial small subunit ribosomal RNA". The record is from RNAcentral.
AGAGUUUGAUCCUGGCUCAGGACGAACGCUGGCGGCGUGCUUAACACAUGCAAGUCGAACGGAGCGAAUGAAAGCUUGCUUUUAUGAGCUUAGUGGCAAACGGGUGAGUAACACGUAGACAACCUGCCGACAGGAUGGGGACAACAUUCCGAAAGGAAUGCUAAUACCGAAUGAGGUCGAGGGAGGGCAUCCUCCUUCGAUGAAAGAUGGCCUCUAUAUAUAAGCUAUCACCUGUCGAUGGGCCUGCGUCUGAUUAGCCAGUUGGCGGGGUAACGGCCCACCAAAGCGACGAUCAGUAGCCGGUCUGAGAGGAUGAACGGCCACAUUGGGACUGAGACACGGCCCAGACUCCUACGGGAGGCAGCAGUGGGGAAUCUUCCACAAUGGGCGAAAGCCUGAUGGAGCAACGCCGCGUGAGUGAAGAAGGUCUUCGGAUCGUAAAGCUCUGUUGCACGGGACGAAAACCGAGCUUGAAAACAUUGAGUUUGGGUGACGGUACCGGAAUAGAAAGCCACGGCUAACUACGUGCCAGCAGCCGCGGUAAUACGUAGGUGGCAAGCGUUGUCCGGAAUUAUUGGGCGUAAAGCGGCGCGCAGGCGGAUAGGUCAGUCUGUCUUAAAAGUUCGGGGCUUAACCCCGUGAUGGGAUGGAAACUGCCAAUCUAGAGUAUCGGAGAGGAAAGUGGAAUUCCUAGUGUAGCGGUGAAAUGCGUAGAUAUUAGGAAGAACACCAGUGGCGAAAGGCGACUUUCUGGACGAAAACUGACGCUGAGGCGCGAAAGCCAGGGGAGCGAACGGGAUUAGAUACCCCGGGUAGUCCUGGCCGUAAACGAUGAGCACUAGGUGUCGGGGUCGCAAGACUUCGGUGCCGCAGUUAACGCAUUAAGUGCUCCGCCUGGGGAGUACGCACGCAAGUGUAAAACUCAAAGGAAUUGACGGGGACCCGCCACAAGCAGCGGAGCAUGUGGUUUAAUUCGAAGCAACGCGAAGAACCUUACCAGGACUUGACAUCCUCUUGACAGAUCCUUAAUCGGAUUCUUCUUCGGACAAGAGAGACAGGUGGUGCAUGGUUGUCGUCAGCUCGUGUCGUGAGAUGUUGGGUUAAGUCCCGCAACGAGCGCAACCCUUGCCAUUAGUUGCCAUCAUUUAGUUGGGCACUCUAGUGGGACUGCCGGGGAAAACUCGGAGGAAGGUGGGGAUGACGUCAAAUCAUCAUGCCCCUUAUGUUCUGGGCUACACACGUGCUACAAUGGCCGGUACAACAGGCAGCGAACCCGUGAGGGGGAGCGAAUCCCAAAAGCCGGUCCCAGUUCGGACUGUAGGCUGCAACUCGCCUACACGAAGUUGGAGUUGCUAGUAAUCGCGGAUCAGAAUGCCGCGGUGAAUGCGUUCCCGGGUCUUGUACACACCGCCCGUCACACCAUGGAAGUUGGGGGUGCCCGAAGUCGGUUAUUUAAUCUAUCGCCUAAGGCAAAACCAAUGACUGGGGUGAAGUCGUAACAAGGUAACC